GUGGUGAAGUACUUCUUCCAGUUCGGCUUCUUCCCCUGGACCACCUCCGCGUACAGAGGGAUUAACGCGGAGAGGCCGUUCGCGUUGCCCAACAUCAUCGGGGUGGAGAAGAAGAACGGAUACGUGCUGUUCGACCUCAUCCAGCUGCUGGCACUCUUCUUCCACAGGUCCAUUCUCAAGUGCCAUGGUCUGUGGGACAACAAAGAAGUGGAGAUGCCUGAUUUCUUUAAGAAGCUGAAGAGGAAAGUGGACAAGAAGAAGACCCAGGGCUCAGAGAAGAGCAGCAGUAAAGAUGGCGCGCGGUGUCUCAAGUUCCUGCCUCUAAACGCCUCUGCAACCUCCCUGUUCUGCCGCCGGAGGAAAGGAGACGCUGACUCCGAUGAGGUGAAGCCCAAGAAGCGGAGCAGUAAAAAGAGGCGAAACCAGCGGAACAAAACCCCUCUGACUCGAAAGCAGCGGAUGCGACAGGAGAUCCGCGAGAGGAUGCUCCAGGCCAAAGCCGCCAUCAUCGAAGUCGGGCUUCAUAUCUAUUUACCCAUACGGCAGUUCUUCUACGACAUCAUUCACCCGGACUACAGCCCGGUGUGUGACGUGUACGCGCUCAUGUUCC
This 610-nucleotide long non-coding RNA is filed under the name Neogobius melanostomus (round goby). RNAcentral describes it as "lncRNA (ENSNMLG00000020628.1)". The record is from RNAcentral. Lineage: Eukaryota; Metazoa; Chordata; Actinopteri; Gobiiformes; Gobiidae.